This 492-nucleotide ribosomal RNA is filed under the name uncultured bacterium. RNAcentral describes it as "partial 16S ribosomal RNA". It matches the Rfam family "Bacterial small subunit ribosomal RNA", at positions 29 to 507 of the family's 1533-position model. The record is from RNAcentral.
AGUGAACGCUGGCGGUAGGCCUAACACAUGCAAGUCGAACGGCAGCACAUUAAGAGCUUGCUCUUACGGGUGGCGAGUGGCGGACGGUUGAGGAAUACAUCGCAAUCUACUUUUUCGUGGGGGAUAACGUAGGGAAACUUACGCUACUACCGCAUACGACCUCCGGGUGAAAGCAGUGGCUCUUCCGACCUUGCGCGAUUGAAUGAGCCGGUGUCGGAUUAGCUAGUUGGCGGGGUAAAGGCCCACCAAGGCGACGAUCCGUAGCUGGUCUGAGAGGAUGAUCAGCCACACUGGAACUGAGAAACGGUCCAGACUCCUACGGGAGGCGGCAGUGGGGAAUAUUGGACAAUGAGCGCAAGCCUGAUCCAGCCAUACCGCGUGGGUGAAGAAGGGCUUCGGGUUGUAAAGCCCUUUUGUUGGGAAAGAAAAGCAGCAGGUUAAUACCCCGCUGUUCUGACGGUACCCAAAGAAUAAGCACCGGCUAGCUUCGUG